RNAcentral lists this ribosomal RNA (305 nucleotides) under uncultured bacterium. RNAcentral describes it as "bacterial SSU rRNA". It matches the Rfam family "Bacterial small subunit ribosomal RNA", at positions 32 to 320 of the family's 1533-position model. The record is from RNAcentral.
AAUCAACGCUGGCGGCGUGCCUCAGACAUGCAAGUCGAACGAGAACCUCCCUUCGGGGAGGAGACAGUGGCGCACGGGUGAGUAACACGUGGGUAAUUUACCUUUGGGUGGGGAACAACAGCCGGAAACGGCUGCUAAUACCGCAUAAUGCAGCGGCUCGACAUCGAGACAGUUGUUAAAGCGGGGGAGUCGCAAGACCUCCGCGCCUGAAGAGAAGCCUGCGGCGGAUUAGCUAGUUGGUAGGGUAAGUGGCCUACCAAGCGACGAUCUGUACCGCCUGAGAGGCGGUCGGUCACACUGACACU